Molecule: ribosomal RNA, 460 nt
Filed under: uncultured bacterium
Lineage: Bacteria
Description: partial 16S ribosomal RNA
Rfam family: Bacterial small subunit ribosomal RNA
Source: RNAcentral
CCUACGGGUGGCAGCAGUGAGGAAUAUUGGUCAAUGGACGAGAGUCUGAACCAGCCAAGUAGCGUGAAGGAUGACUGCCCUAUGGGUUGUAAACUUCUUUUAUAUGGGAAUAAAACGUUCCACGUGUGGGAUUUUGUAUGUACCAUAUGAAUAAGGAUCGGCUAACUCCGUGCCAGCAGCCGCGGUAAUACGGAGGAUCUGAGCGUUAUCCGGAUUUAUUGGGUUUAAAGGGAGCGUAGGUGGAUUGUUAAGUCAGUUGUGAAAGUUUGCGGCUCAACCGUAAAAUUGCAGUUGAAACUGGCAGUCUUGAGUACAGUAGAGGUGGGCGGAAUUCGUGGUGUAGCGGUGAAAUGCUUAGAUAUCACGAAGAACUCCGAUUGCGAAGACAGUUCACUGGACUGCAACUGACACUGAGGCUCGAAAGUGUGGGUAUCAAACAGGAUUAGAUACCCUGGUAGUC